UUAAGUGACUAAGCGUACAUGGUGGAUGCCUUGGCAGUCAGAGGCGAUGAAGGACGUACUAACCUGCGAUAAGCUGUGAGGAGUCGGUAAGAGACGCUAUUACUCACAGAUUUCCGAAUGGGGAAACCCACCCGAGAUAACUCGGGUAUCUGUUACUGAAUACAUAGGUAACAGAGGCGAACCGGGAGAACUGAAACAUCUAAGUACCCCGAGGAAAAGAAAUCAACCGAGAUUCCCUCAGUAGCGGCGAGCGAACGGGGAUUAGCCCUUAAGCAUCUUGGAAGUUAGUGGAACGGUCCUGGAAAGGCCGGCGAUACAGGGUGAUAGCCCCGUACACGAAAACGACCUUGAUGUGAAAUCGAGUAGGGCGGGACACGUGACAUCCUGUCUGAAUAUGGGGGGACCAUCCUCCAAGGCUAAAUACUCCUGACUGACCGAUAGUGAACCAGUACCGUGAGGGAAAGGCGAAAAGAACCCCUGUGAGGGGAGUGAAAUAGAACCUGAAACCGUGUACGUACAAGCAGUGGGAGCCCUUCGGGGUGACUGCGUACCUUUUGUAUAAUGGGUCAGCGACUUACAUUUUGUAGCGAGGUUAACCGUAUAGGGGAGCCGUAGGGAAACCGAGUCUUAACUGGGCGUCUAGUUGCAAGGUGUAGACCCGAAACCGGGUGAUCUAGCCAUGGGCAGGUUGAAGGUUGAGUAACAUCAACUGGAGGACCGAACCCACUAACGUUGCAAAGUUAGGGGAUGACCUGUGGCUGGGGGUGAAAGGCCAAUCAAACUCGGAGAUAGCUGGUUCUCCCCGAAAGCUAUUUAGGUAGCGCCUCGGACGAAUACUACUGGGGGUAGAGCACUGUUUGGGCUAGGGGGUCAUCCCGACUUACCAACCCCAUGCAAACUCCGAAUACCAGUAAGUAAUAUCCGGGAGACACGCGGCGGGUGCUAACGUCCGUCGUGAAGAGGGAAACAACCCAGACCGCCGGCUAAGGUCCCAAAGUUCUGGUUAAGUGGGAAACGAUGUGGGAAGGCUCAGACAGCUAGGAUGUUGGCUUAGAAGCAGCCAUCAUUUAAAGAAAGCGUAAUAGCUCACUAGUCGAGUCGGCCUGCGCGGAAGAUGUAACGGGGCUCAAACCAGGCACCGAAGCCGCGGAUUCACACUUAUGUGUGAGUGGUAGGGGAGCGUUCUGUAAGUCUGCGAAGGUGUAUCGAGAGGUAUGCUGGAGAUAUCAGAAGUGCGAAUGCUGACGUAAGUAACGAUAAAGGGGGUGAAAAGCCUCCUCGCCGGAAGACCAAGGGUUCCUGUCCAACGUUAAUCGGGGCAGGGUGAGUCGACCCCUAAGGCGAGGCCGAAAGGCGUAGUCGAUGGGAAGCAGGUUAAUAUUCCUGCACGACUUGUAAUUGCGAUGGGGGGACGGAGAAGGCUAGGUGGGCCAGGCGACGGUUGUCCUGGUGAAAGUGCGUAGGUGGUGUUUCUAGGCAAAUCCGGAGACACAACACUGAGACACGAGACGAACACACUACGGUGUGGAAGCCAUUGAUGCCCUGCUUCCAGGAAAAGCCUCUAAGCUUCAGAUUACAAGUCAUCGUACCCCAAACCGACACAGGUGGUCGGGUAGAGAAUACCAAGGCGCUUGAGAGAACUCGGGUGAAGGAACUAGGCAAAAUAGAACCGUAACUUCGGGAGAAGGUUCGCUCUUGACAGUGAAGUCCCUUGCGGAUGGAGCAGUUGGGAGUCGCAGUGACCAGAUGGCUGGGACUGUUUAUCAAAAACACAGCACUCUGCAAACACGAAAGUGGACGUAUAGGGUGUGACACCUGCCCGGUGCCGGAAGGUUAAUUGAUGGGGUUAGCGCAAGCGAAGCUCUUGAUCGAAGCCCCGGUAAACGGCGGCCGUAACUAUAACGGUCCUAAGGUAGCGAAAUUCCUUGUCGGGUAAGUUCCGACCUGCACGAAUGGUGUAACCAUGGCCAUGCUGUCUCCACCCGAGACUCAGUGAAAUCGAAUUCGCCGUGAAGAUGCGGUGUACCCGCGGCUAGACGGAAAGACCCCGUGAACCUUUACUACAGCUUGGCACUGAACAUUGAACCUACAUGUGUAGGAUAGGUGGGAGGCUUUGAAGGCGUGACGCCAGUUGCGCUGGAGCCGUCCUUGAAAUACCACCCUUGUAUGUUUGAUGUU
RNAcentral lists this ribosomal RNA (2178 nucleotides) under Aeromonas veronii AMC35. RNAcentral describes it as "bacterial LSU rRNA". It matches the Rfam family "Bacterial large subunit ribosomal RNA", at positions 1 to 2221 of the family's 2925-position model. The record is from RNAcentral. Lineage: Bacteria; Pseudomonadati; Pseudomonadota; Gammaproteobacteria; Aeromonadales; Aeromonadaceae.